GCCCUUCUAGUAUACCGAUUACAAUCGACUUCCUAUCCUUAAAACCUGGUGGAACCCUAGAGAAGAGCA
Molecule: transfer RNA, 69 nt
Filed under: Columba livia (rock pigeon)
Lineage: Eukaryota; Metazoa; Chordata; Aves; Columbiformes; Columbidae
Description: tRNA-Gly
Source: RNAcentral